This is a long non-coding RNA of Cyprinus carpio (common carp), 1207 nucleotides long. NCBI's taxonomy places the organism in Eukaryota, Metazoa, Chordata, Actinopteri, Cypriniformes, Cyprinidae. The record is from Ensembl.
UGUCCAAAGUAAUUUAACGUUAAUAUUAUACCAUUCACAGUGUUAUUCAUAGCUUUCUCGUCUUUUUUAACAGGGACCAAGGAACAAACGGAGGCGUUCAUACGUCUCCGUUUAGAAAACAAGCAGCUGUUUACCGGGGGGAGAGACACCGCGGCGAACGGAUAUCGGCUUGUUUUGGAGAAGAUGAGGGUCGAAGGGAGGGUUUCCCACGCCCAGGCAAAAAAACAGUGGGACAACUUAAAAACCAAGUACAAGGAAUGUAAGUGUCCUGCCACAGGUCAAGGGACAGAGGAUGGCAAGGCGACGGCAGCAAAUUGGCCCUGGUUUGCCCUCAUGGACGAGGCAUUAGGGCAGUCUGCAGCAGUCUCGCCCCCUUGCCUUAUUUCCUCGAUCCAGGAGGAAAAACCAGGGCCAAGCACUGCACGAGAGGUAGAUGAAGGGAGAGGCGAGGAUGAGGAGACAGUAAGAGACAGGAGCAAAGAGAGAGCAGGGCACAGAGGAGAGAAGAGGAGAAGGGAGCGAGAGGAUCCAAUCCUACAGCUUCUAAAAGAGGAUAUUAAAUACCAGAGGGAGGCAGAUGAGAGAAGGGAAGCAGAGGCCAGAGAGAGGUCAAACCGCUUUUUUUUUGCUGUUGGAGAGGUUGGCGGAAAAAUAAAGUCAAUUAAAUUGAACUGGUUUUGUCUUUGCCCCUUAAUUAUUUAAUAUAAACUGUAUAUCCAUUUUUUUUAAAAACCUUGUUCUUUAGACCGCAGUAGAAAAACAAAACAAUGUAUUGAACAAUAUCUUCACCCUUAUUUACAACGUUUUGUGAUUCGGUAUUCCAAGCUCUACAAAAAGCAUUAAUUUCAUCUUUGUUACAUAAAAAAAAUUUAUUGAAACAUUUCUAUAUUGACAACUAUAUACAUGAAGCAGCAAAUUCAUUUAAACAGCAUUCUCAUAUCUACAACUAUAUACAACAACUUAAACAUUUACAACUAUAUACAACAAGACGAGAAGAACACAAGUGGCCAUCAGCCACACUGCCUACAGCACCGCCGGUGCUGCUGUUGUUGCUUCAAGGCUGCAGACAGAAGAAGAAAGUUUAGGUUAGUCCAGUGGUAAUCCAAUCUGUCAUGUAAGAUGAUAAUUGAUUCUACAACAGUUGCAGUAUAUUUAAUAUUGUAUCACUGAAGGUAAAUAAAAUAUACUUAAUGUACUUUUAUGGUCA